Pectinophora gossypiella (pink bollworm) is the source of this 408-nucleotide long non-coding RNA. RefSeq lists it as uncharacterized. Lineage: Eukaryota; Metazoa; Arthropoda; Insecta; Lepidoptera; Gelechiidae. The record is from RefSeq and is a predicted model, not a curated record. The transcript is spliced from 2 exons.
UUCACCUUCUCUUUGAUCUGUUCCAUGUAAGCUCUUCUUGGGCUUACCCUUACUCUCUUUUCUUGUAACUUUCUUUCUAUGAAGUUUUUAAUAAAUUCGUCGUGUCUUAUUAAGUGUCCAAUCAUCCCCCCCAAACCCCAAUAUUGGACACUUAAAAAGAUUGUCUCAUGCUUACUAAUGAAUAGAAUAUUUUAUUUAUAGAGUAUAGAGUAGUGGUUAAUAGUAGAUAUAAUUUAGGACAUUUAAGUCACAGGAUUAUUUUUUUUGCUGAGUUUUUGUCCAGGUCGUAUAAUAAAUGUUAUUUAAGUUACGUUAUUGGUAUUGUCACAGAAAAAGAUUAAUCUGUGUAUUUCAUUGCAGUAGAAAGUGAUGAGCUUGUAAUAAACUAAUAAACAAACCAAACUUUUA